AUCAACGCUGGCGGCGUGCCUAACACAUGCAAGUCGAACGCGAAAGCCCCGCAAGGGGUAAGUAGAGUGGCAAACGGGUGAGUAACACGUGGGUGACCUGCCUUCGAGUGGGGGAUAACGUCCCGAAAGGGACGCUAAUACCGCAUGACAUCCUGCUUUUGAAAAAGCGGGGAUCAAAGCUGGGGAUCGCAAGACCUAGCGCUUGAAGAGGGGCCCGCGCCUGAUUAGCUAGUUGGUGAGGUAACGGCUCACCAAGGCGACGAUCAGUAUCCGGCCUGAGAGGGCGGACGGACACACUGGGACUGAGACACGGCCCAGACUCCUACGGGAGGCAGCAGUGGGGAAUUGUUCGCAAUGGGCGCAAGCCUGACGACGCAACGCCGCGUGGAGGACGAAGAUCUUCGGGUCGUAAACUCCUGUCGAGCGGGACGAACGCUUCGCGGAUGAAUAAUCCGCGGAAUUGACGGUACCGCUAAAGGAAGCCCCGGCUAACUCCGUG
This 499-nucleotide ribosomal RNA is filed under the name uncultured bacterium. Its description in RNAcentral is "partial 16S ribosomal RNA". It matches the Rfam family "Bacterial small subunit ribosomal RNA", at positions 32 to 507 of the family's 1533-position model. The record is from RNAcentral.